UACACAUGCAAGUCGAACGGCAGCACGGACUUCGGUCUGGUGGCGAGUGGCGAACGGGUGAGUAAUGUAUCGGAACGUGCCCAGCAGCGGGGGAUAACUACGCGAAAGCGUAGCUAAUACCGCAUACGCCCUACGGGGGAAAGCAGGGGAUCGCAAGACCUUGCACUAUUGGAGCGGCCGAUAUCGGAUUAGCUAGUUGGUGGGGUAACGGCUCACCAAGGCGACGAUCCGUAGCUGGUUUGAGAGGACGACCAGCCACACUGGGACUGAGACACGGCCCAGACUCCUACGGGAGGCAGCAGUGGGGAAUUUUGGACAAUGGGGGAAACCCUGAUCCAGCCAUCCCGCGUGUGCGAUGAAGGCCUUCGGGUUGUAAAGCACUUUUGGCAGGAAAGAAACGUCGUGGGUUAAUACCCCGCGAAACUGACGGUACCUGCAGAAUAAGCACCGGCUAACUACGUGCCAGCAGCCGCGGUAAUACGUAGGGUGCAAGCGUUAAUCGGAAUUACUGGGCGUAAAGCGUGCGCAGGCGGUUCGGAAAGAAAGAUGUGAAAUCCCAGAGCUUAACUUUGGAACUGCAUUUUUAACUACCGGGCUAGAGUGUGUCAGAGGGAGGUGGAAUUCCGCGUGUAGCAGUGAAAUGCGUAGAUAUGCGGAGGAACACCGAUGGCGAAGGCAGCCUCCUGGGAUAACACUGACGCUCAUGCACGAAAGCGUGGGGAGCAAACAGGAUUAGAUAUCCUGGUAGUCCACGCCCUAAACGAUGUCAACUAGCUGUUGGGGCCUUCGGGCCUUGGUAGCGCAGCUAACG
Molecule: ribosomal RNA, 811 nt
Filed under: uncultured Achromobacter sp.
Lineage: Bacteria; Pseudomonadati; Pseudomonadota; Betaproteobacteria; Burkholderiales; Alcaligenaceae
Description: bacterial SSU rRNA
Rfam family: Bacterial small subunit ribosomal RNA
Source: RNAcentral